This 245-nucleotide ribosomal RNA is filed under the name uncultured Lachnospiraceae bacterium. RNAcentral describes it as "partial 16S ribosomal RNA". It matches the Rfam family "Bacterial small subunit ribosomal RNA", at positions 524 to 768 of the family's 1533-position model. The record is from RNAcentral. Lineage: Bacteria; Bacillati; Bacillota; Clostridia; Lachnospirales; Lachnospiraceae.
UACGUAUGGAGCAAGCGUUAUCCGGAUUUACUGGGUGUAAAGGGUGCGUAGGUGGCGAGGCAAGUCAGAUGUGAAAUACCGGGGCUCAACCCCGGGGCUGCAUUUGAAACUGUCUUGCUGGAGUACAGGAGAGGCAGGCGGAAUUCCUAGUGUAGCGGUGAAAUGCGUAGAUAUUAGGAGGAACACCAGUGGCGAAGGCGGCCUGCUGGACUGUUACUGACACUGAGGCACGAAAGCGUGGGGAG